This 345-nucleotide ribosomal RNA is filed under the name Leclercia barmai. RNAcentral describes it as "partial 23S ribosomal RNA". It matches the Rfam family "Bacterial large subunit ribosomal RNA", at positions 1025 to 1369 of the family's 2925-position model. Lineage: Bacteria; Pseudomonadati; Pseudomonadota; Gammaproteobacteria; Enterobacterales; Enterobacteriaceae. The record is from RNAcentral. RNAcentral also lists the same sequence under 2 other names.
ACCCAGACCGCCAGCUAAGGUCCCAAAGUCAUGGUUAAGUGGGAAACGAUGUGGGAAGGCACAGACAGCCAGGAUGUUGGCUUAGAAGCAGCCAUCAUUUAAAGAAAGCGUAAUAGCUCACUGGUCGAGUCGGCCUGCGCGGAAGAUGUAACGGGGCUAAACCAUGCACCGAAGCUGCGGCAGCGACACUAUGUGUUGUUGGGUAGGGGAGCGUUCUGUAAGCCGUUGAAGGUGAACUGUGAGGUUUGCUGGAGGUAUCAGAAGUGCGAAUGCUGACAUAAGUAACGAUAAAGCGGGUGAAAAGCCCGCUCGCCGGAAGACCAAGGGUUCCUGUCCAACGUUAAU